GCUUUGGAGGUCCUGUGGUUGUGGUUGUGGAUGGACUGGGUAGAGGGGCUGUAGUUCUCCCUGUUGUAGGCGAUGCUUCUGGGGUUCCGAUUGGUGGCGUUGGCUUUGGAGGUCCUGUGGUUGUGGUUGUGGAUGGACUGGGUGGAGGGGCUGUAGUUCUCCCUGUUGUAGGCGAUGCUUCUGGGGUUCCGAUUGGUGGCGUUGGCUUUGGAGGUCCUGUGGUUGUGGUUGUGGAUGGACUGGGUGGAGGGGCU
This is a long non-coding RNA of Clupea harengus (Atlantic herring), 254 nucleotides long. RefSeq lists it as uncharacterized. NCBI's taxonomy places the organism in Eukaryota, Metazoa, Chordata, Actinopteri, Clupeiformes, Clupeidae. The record is from RefSeq and is a predicted model, not a curated record. The transcript is spliced from 2 exons.